This 8229-nucleotide long non-coding RNA is filed under the name Aquilegia coerulea. Its description in RNAcentral is "long non-coding RNA (ACOE_LNC001416)". Lineage: Eukaryota; Viridiplantae; Streptophyta; Magnoliopsida; Ranunculales; Ranunculaceae. The record is from RNAcentral.
GGAGCCUGUUGUUGCAGCAGACGAUGACAGGGAUGAUCACUACAUUUGUCUGAUGUGAGAUCGAGUGUAGUCCAGGGUUGUAACUUUUUGACAGGUCAUUUUAUAUGUAUAUAUGUAGAUAUCACACUCGAUAACAUUUUAUAUAUGUAUUAUCACAAUCAUGUAAUGUAUACAGUAUGGUUUUCUAUAUAAAUAUGAAAGUGUGUUUUUGCGGAUUUGUGUUAAUUGCUAGUUAAUAAAUGGAUGGAUUCAACACCAGACUUCCACGGAUUUUUGUUAUGAUUAAUAGAGUAGAAAUGACAACUUGCCCAUGGUGUUGAUGUUAAUGCCUCGAGAUUUGAUUCAGGUCUUAUUGGGAUAUGGGUCGGAUUUUGGGGCGUUAAAGAUUGGUAUCAGAGCGCCAGUAGUAGAUCCGUCUGGGAUCUGUUGGAAGGAUGUUUUGGUGCUACUUUAUUUAAGACACGGCAGGUUUAGCAUAACUGAUAUCUCUUUAUUUUAUAAAGGAUGUUACUUUAAUAGAAAAGUUAAAAAAUUUAGUAAUGAGGUUAAAGUGUUAAAUCUUAAAUGGGGAUGGGUAGAGUUCUUAGUUAACAAAUAUAGUAAUCAUCUAGUAAACUUUGGGGCGACACAGGGUAAAUAUAGAAAUGGAAUAAAAUACACUAGACAAGCAAGGCACUCCAAGCCGUCCCUAGGAACACCGACAUGCUGCCGAAAUGCUGACGAAAUUUAAAAUACACUUAUAACUUAAAAAUAUGUAUGUUUGAUACCUUAUGUGAGACCGGCGAUUUAUGGAUCAUCUACUUGUAUGGUGUCACUCUGACGAAAUUAUGUUGUUACUCUGCCGAAAUUCGUAUUGUUGUGAAAUGAACCAAUUCUCAGCUAAAUUGUGAUCUCUGACAUAAUGCAGAAGGGUUACUAUGGAAUCUACUAGAGAUGUUAAUAGUUCCGAGACUAUAGGUCAGGGUUCUACUGAUCCGAUGCAAAAGAUGUUAGAUUUAAUGAUGGAUAUGACUCAGAAACAUAAUGAUCUCAGAGAUGAAAUUUCAGAAUUGAGGGCUAGGCAGAACCAAGGUCAAACACUUCCACCUCCGCCAGUUAUUCAACCUGCUAUAGUACCUGAGAUUGGACAACUUGUUUUGCAGAAUGUAGUUCAGCCGCCAGUUGUUGUCCAUCCAAUUGUACAGGGUCGAGGAGGGUCCAUACUGACAGACUUUGCUAGACUGAAUCCACCUAUAUUUGAGGGCCCUUCGAGUUCUUCAACACCCGAGGAAUGGUUGUUAGACAUUUCCUGCAUGCUAGACUCCUUUAUGUGUACUGAUGUUGAGCGUGUCAACCUAGCAGUCUUUAUGCUUAGAGGCCACGCUAAGCAUUGGUGGAUUAGUGUUAAAUAUAUUGAAGUGCAGCCUAUAACUUGGGCAAGGUUUGAAGAGGUUUUCCUAGAGAAAUAUGUCAGUGAAGCUGAUCGACAAAGAAAACAUCUAGAGUUCUUAAAGUUAGAGCAAUGCAAUAUAACAGUGAGUCAGUAUGAAGAAAAGUUUACUGUUUUGUCACGAUAUGGGAAAGAGAUGAUCUCAACUGAGAAAGCUAAAGCGACCAAGUUUAUUUAUGGGUUGAAGCCAUUUAUGCAAGAUAAGAUGUCAGUUCUGACUAUUGAUAAUUAUGCUGAAGCUGUAAGGAUGGCUCAAGGAAUCGAACGGGUUGAUGAGCAAUUACAGGUGAACCGACAUCCAUCUGAUAAAAGAUCACUACCGUUACAAGGUCAAGGUGAUACAACCAAGAGGCAGUUUUAUCAGCUUAGCAAUUUAGGGAAUCAGAGAUUUUAUAGGCCGACUGGUCAGUAUGUUCAGUAUGUGAAGCCAGUGACUGUACAGUGAAGCUUUAAUGUGGUUAGGCCAGCACAACAAGUUGUGAGACCAGCGAGCAAACCACAGAUGAAACCAGCAGGGCAGACUUCUAGGCCACAGGGUCAAAUGAUAGCAGUUCAACCGAUAAGGAAAUGUUUCACAUGUGGUGAUCCAGGGCACUUUAGGAAGAAUUGUCCAAAGUAUAAUUCGAUGAUUGCUGAGCAGAAAUCACAGGGUAAAGUGUAUUGUAUGGUGCCAGAAGAAGAAAUUGUGGAAUACUAUCCAGACCAGGAAGAAGGCAUAGUAUAUGCUGUGUUAGAUGAAGAUAAAGAUGCAUCUCACAAAGUUGUUGAAGGUAUGGUUCCUUUAUUUACCCAUUCUGUGCAUGUGUUGUUUGAUCCUGGUGCUACUCAUUCAUUUAUUGCUAGAAGUAUUGCUAAUUCUCUAGAUAUACCCAUGAGAGACACUGGGAAACAACUUGUGUUAUCAACACCAGUUGCUAGAAAAACCUUACGGUAUGAGACUUGUCCACCUUGUCGAGUCUCCAUAGAUAAAUAUGAGAUGUGGGUAAAUUUCACGGUUAUGGAUAGCUUGAAGGACUUCGAUGUUAUACUUGGGAUGGAUUGGUUAGCCAAAUAUCAUGCUAUGCUAGACUGUUUUUCUAAAACAGUUAUCUUUAGAAUCCCAGGACAUGCGGAGUUUAUUUUUAAAGGGACGAAAAAAUCUUCUUUUCGACUUUAUAAGAUCCGAGAUAUUUUGAAAGACAUUGAAUGUGGCUUGUUAGCCAAUGUUGAUAUGAUCAAUAAAGAGUUGCCAUCUCUUGAGCAUCUCCCGAUAGUUCGUGAGUUUCAAGCUGUGUUUCCAGAUAAAUUGCCAGGGUUACCUCCCCGGCGAGAAAUAGCUUUUGUGAUAGAAUUGAUCCCUGGAACUUCUCCUAUUUCGGUAAACCCUUAUCGAAUGGCUCCAAUAGAAAUGAGAGAACUAAAGUCCCAAUUAGAUGAGUUGAAAGAGUUGGGAUUUAUACGUGAGAGUCACUCACCUUGGGGGGCUCCAAUUUUGUUUGUGAAGAAGAAGGAUGGUUCUUUUAGACUUUGUAUUGAUUAUCGCAAGUUAAACAAUGCGACUAUCAAGAAUAAGUAUCCAUUGCCUAGAAUUAAUGACCUAUUCGAUCAGUUGAGGGAUGCCAAAUAUUUGUCGAAGAUUGAUCUCAGAUCUGGUUACCAUCAGUUGAGAAUUAAGGAGGCGGAUAUUGAGAAGACAGCUUUCCGAACACGGUUGGGUCAUUUUGAGUUCCUUGUGAUGCCAUUUGGGUUGACAAAUGCUCCUGCUGCAUUUAUGGAUCUUAUGCAUCGAGUGUUUUGGAAGUACUUAGAUCAGUUUAUUAUUGUAUUCAUUGAUGAUAUAUUGGUCUAUUCCAAUACUCGAGAGGCACAUGAAGAUCAUUUGCGAAUUACCCUCCAGACAUUGCUUGAGCGUCAGUUAUAUGCCAAGUUCAGUAAAUGUGAGUUCUGGUUGAGUGAAGUUAAAUUUCUGGGGCAUGUUGUAUCGCAGGAUGGGAUAUCAGUUGAUCUUUCAAAGAUUGAGGCAGUGAAGAAUUGGCAACGACCGCAAAAUGUGACAGAAAUCAGAAGUUUCUUGGGUCUGGCCGGUUAUUAUCGUCGAUUUGUUAAAGGAUUUUCGAGUUUAGCUUCGUCUUUGACCAGGUUGACACAGAAAGAUGUGAAGUAUGAAUGGUCUGAUAAAUGUGAGUCUGCAUUUCAAGAGCUAAAGACUCGGCUAACUACUGCACCGAUCUUGACAGUUCCCGAUCCUGACAAAGAUUAUGUUGUUUACACUGAUACUUCGAUGAUAGGAUUGGGUUGUGUACUGAUGCAAGAUGGCAAAGUUAUUGCUUAUGCGUCCAGGCAAUUGGGUAAUCAUGAGAAGAAUUAUCCUACUCACGAUUUAGAGUUAGCUGCAGUUGUAUAUGCUUUAAAGAUUUGGAGACAUUACUUGUAUGGGCAGAAAUUUGAUGUUUUCUCUGAUCAUAAGAGUCUCAAGUAUUUGUUCUCGUAGAAAGAUUUGAAUAUGAGGCAAACUAGAUGGGUCGAGUAUCUGAAAGACUACAACCUUUCGUUACAGUAUCAUCCUGGUAAAGCAAAUGCAGUUGCAGAUGCACUUAGUAGGAAACGAGAAUUGAUGUGUGCCCAAAUGCUGAUUAACGAAUGGACAUUGUUAAACUUUGUUACUUCUUAUGUGUUUGAAACUCCUGAAGACGAGGAUUGCCAACUUUGCUACUCUGCUCAGAUGAGGCUUGAGAAUACACUUGUUCGGGAUAUUAUCCAUAGUCAAGGUACUGUAAAGGUUGACAAGAGCGUCAUGAAGUUUGUAGAAGAUACAGAGAACUGUGACUGGAGACGAACAGAAGAUGGCAGUAUUAGAUACAGGGGAAGAUUUUGGGUGCCAGCAGAUAAGAAUUUGAGAGACCGUAUACUAGAAGAAGCGCACCGAUCUAAAUAUACAAUUCAUCCUGGUGGUACCAAAAUGUACAGAGACUUGUGUUGCCAGUUCUGGUGGCCUGGAAUGAAGAAACACAUUGCUCAGUAUGUGAAGAGGUGUGCUACGUGUCAACAAGUAAAAGCUGAACACAAUCGACCUCCAGGUUUACUUUAACCUUUAGAUAUUCCUGAAUGGAAGUGGGAGCACAUCACUAUGGAUUUUAUAACAGGGUUACCGAGAACCAGUGAGGGUAUGAACUCCAUAUGGGUUGUUGUUGAUAGAUUGACAAAGUCUGCUCACUUUAUACCUGUUAAGACUUCAUACUCCACCGAUAAAUUGAGUAAGUUGUAUAUUGAUAAUGUAGUGAAACUGCAUGGAGCACCUAAGUCAAUUGUUUCUGACAGGGGUACUCAGUUCGCUGGUGCGUUUUGGAAGGGUCUCCAGAGAGAGUUUGGUACACAAUUGAACUUCAAUACAGCUUUCCACCCCCAGACUGAUGGUCAGUCAGAGAGAGUUAUCCAGAUAGUAGAAGAUAUGCUUCGAGCUUGCAUUCUUGAUUAUGGUGGGAGUUGGAAGAAACAUCUAUCACUUGCAGAAUUUGCCUACAACAACAGUUACCAGUCCAGCAUAGGUAUGGCACCGUAUGAAGCAUUAUAUGGUAGACCUUGUAGAACACCUUUGUGUUGGGCCGAGACAGGAGACAGUAUAUUGUUGGGGCCGGAUAAAGUUGAGGAAACUACCGCAACUAUCAGAUUGAUAAGGAAUCGUUUGCUUACAGCUCAGAGUCGCCAGAAAAGCUAUGCAGAUCCCCGCAGACGACAUAUAGAAUUUGAGGAAGGUGACCAAGUGUAUCUUAGGGUUUCUCCACGGAAGGGUAUUCAGAGGUUUAGAAUUAAAGGGAAGUUAGCGCCGAGAUAUAUGGGACCAUUUCGAAUUAUACAGAAACUCUCCAAGUUUGCUUAUAGGCUUGAAUUACCAGCUAAGCUGGCAAGGGUCCAUAAUGUUUUACACAUUUCGAUGUUGCGAAAGUAUGUUUCCGAUCCGAAACAUCGCAUUGAUCUUGAGUCUUUAGAGGUAGAAGAAGACAUUUCUUAUGCAGAGGGACCAAUUGAGAUUUUAGAAUGGAAAGAAAAACAACUACGAUCGAAGGCCAUUCCCUUAGUAAAAGUCUUAUGGCGUAAUCACAAUAAAGAAGAGGCAACCUGGGAAACCGAAUCUGAAAUGCGGGAGAAAUAUCCAGAGAUUUUCCCUAAGAAUAGAACAUCUCGAUAGUAAGGUAUGACUUUAAUUUCGAGGACGAAAUUUCUUUUAACGUUUAUAGAAUGUAAGGACCCGUGCACUCUCUAGGGGUAUUUUAGUAAUCUCACCUAUGAUUCUAUGGCUAUGAUCGCAUCAUAGUAAACAUUUUUAUAUAUAGAAAACAUACAGAAAAAUAAAUAAAUAAAUAGACGAUAAAAACUUCAUAACACAUUUUUGAAAAAUUUGGCAAACUUGUCGCAAGAUAUUCGAUGUUUAAUAUAUAGAAACCGCAUUAUAUUUCUAACAUGAACUCAUUACAACUAGGAUCGGGUGCGCAAAAAACGCUUGAAAUGAACCCACAUAUGUUGCUAGAAAGAGUUUUUACAAAUAAGAGUAACUUUGUUAAGUUGCACCUAAUUACACUUAAUCAAUUCUAUUUCUAUUAGAUAAGACUCAAGCUUAGGCUUACACCUCAUGCUAGAAUUAAACAUGAGCUGUAUUAAACCUUUUCUAGUAACUGAGUGUGAAACCACUUGCUGGAGAUUAAGUUAAGGCUUGGGAAAAGAAAGAGAAAUCAGACACCACUACCAUUGAAGUCAAGUGAAGUUAGCUUCUUAGCAACUAGUGGAUAUUGAAAGAGAGUGACCAGUUAGAAAAAAUUCAAUCUGACAGGUUUGUAUUCUUGAACUUGGUAGUAUACUUAUAGAAAUAACAAGCAAUACAAUUAGUAGUUCAAGCUUUAGUUAGUAGCUAGAUGAUUAAUAUGAAUAGGUCCGUAGGAUUUCAAUGAGCUGGAGUGAUUUUCAUGCUUAACUUUAGAAGAGAAAACAAGCAGCAAGUCAUAUAGGUUGUUGGCUACCUUUAAUCUUGUACAAACUAGGAAAGUAUUACUGAAUUUUAAACCUUUCCAUUAGUAAGUGUUGGUUAUAUGAAAUUUAGUACCGACUACAAGCCCGUUAAUAGGUUAUGGACUAAAUGCAUGUAUACCCAAUUAGAAAACCUAUUAGAAACACAAGACACGCACGAAUAGAAAAUAUAUAAUAGUUCCCUUAUAGGAUUAUAAUUAUGUUUCGUUUGCGUUUUAGGUGUUUGACUUUAGUAGUGUUCUUCGGGUUUUAGAGGUGACGCGGGAGCGCGCUGAGGUAGGGACUUGCAUUUCCUUUAUAUUAUCUUCUCAUGGUUCAUGUUUUAAAUGUUAUAAUAUUAUCGAUAUAGUGAUGAUAAAAAUACAUGCAUGAUUUUGGUUGGAAUAUAUAUAGUACUCGCGUUUUUACGAUUGUAGAUUGUGUUAAAAUGAUUAGUUACAGAUAUCAUGUUUUAAACUAGAGUUGUUAAAGUAGUACAGAAUAUUGUUUUAUAAACAGAAAAACAAUUGAAGUUUUUAUCGCAUCUCUUUUCCAAGAUGGGAAAAGGGAGAUGGAUUUUGUAUGUGGGAUGUGGGGUCCCAGUUGUAUGUUGGUAUGGUGUGAGGUCCUUGGUUUGGGAAAAUAUAUGAUCUGGGUGCUUACACGAACAUAUUAUUACAUAUCGGAUUAUAAUCCUUCGGCUAGUGCCCGUGUCUGGUAGCCGUGAAUAGGGAACUGGUUUGAUGGUUGAUAAAUUCAGGGACUCGUCACAUGUGCCAGAUUAAUUAAUUAUCAUUAAAAGACACUCUAUAUAUUUUAUAUAUUAUAUCACGAGGCGGUUUGGCAAGGGAUCUGUGAAUUUCUACAAAGAAGGAAGUGUUGUCAUAUUCUAGAGAUGACAGUUCUUUCUAGGAUUACAUAUACAGUGUUCACCUUUAGAUGGUGAAUGGGCACUUUCUAGAGGCGAACAUUGUAGGAUGUUUCCGGGGAUUCCUUUUCUACCUUCCUGGAUUGCCAUGUUUUAGUGGUAUUUGUUGUGGAUGGUUAGUGUGUUGUGGGGAUACAUGUUACCUCGAGGAGGUUAGACGCAGGGAGUGAGAGGUAGUCCAAUCCUGGACGUGUGUCAGGAUCCUGUGCAGUCUGCAGUCGUCAAACGGUUGACCACCGUGAUAGGUGAUUCUCCCUCUGGAGCGUCGUGGUCAGAGGGCCCACCUGAGCCCUGAAAGAGGGUUAGUGUUCUCGAGACACAAAACGGUAAUCACCCGACCGGAUAAUCAGGAACUAACGGUGCAGGUUCACACCGGUAAGUACUGAACCAAGAAUUUGCCUGGGACUGGGGCUGAGUUUCAGUCGUACCCUCACCACUCUAAUAGGAUACAGGUACCCGAAUUAUUGUAUGAAUGCUUGAAUAUUACUUAGUACUUAUAGUAGAAAAUAUUUGACAUUAUAUUUAUAAUAACUUUACAGUUCUUCUUUAAACUUGCAUAUUUAAACUGUUAGCAUGAUUUAUCAUCAUGGUUGGAUAAGAUUUUGGAAAUGUGGGUUUCUACUGAGCAAGUGGAUUAUGCUCACCCUACCAUUACCCUUUUCAGCUGAGCCUGUUGUUGAGGAGCCUGUUGUUGCAGCAGACGAUGACAGGGAUGAUCACUACAUUUGUCUGAUGUGAUAUCGAGUGUAGUCCAGGGUUGUAACUUUUUGACAGGUCCUUUUAUAUGUAUAUAUGUAGAUAUCACACUAGAUAACAUCUUAUAUAUGUAUUAUCACAAUCAUGUAAUGUAUACAGUAUGGUUUUCUAUAUAAAUAUGAAAGUGUGUUUUUGCGGA